UCCUUUCAAAAACUUUGUACAAGUUUUCGCUUGCAGAAUCUCGAAAUUUGGAUUUGAAUCCACAUGUUGUCAACUUAUUGGCAAGUUUCUCCCCCAACUCCUGCUUCCAAUCCUCAGCCACCUUAUUUUCCGGUACAGCCCACACGACCGCCGCCUCAGUUGUGAGGUUAACACUCGCAGACGAUACCUGAGGCUGCCCUUCCAGAAUCCUCUUCACGCUUGCAGCACAUCCACCACAGACCAUCCCUCCAACAUCGAGAAUUAUGACGUCCGGUGCAGGAGUCGAUGUGUUCGCCUGUCCUGCAGCUGAUUUGACCUCGCUCCCGCCGCCGUCGCCGCCCG
Molecule: unclassified non-coding RNA, 342 nt
Filed under: Hevea brasiliensis (rubber tree)
Lineage: Eukaryota; Viridiplantae; Streptophyta; Magnoliopsida; Malpighiales; Euphorbiaceae
Source: RNAcentral